Gastrolobium bilobum is the source of this 1031-nucleotide long non-coding RNA. RefSeq lists it as uncharacterized. The record is from RefSeq and is a predicted model, not a curated record. NCBI's taxonomy places the organism in Eukaryota, Viridiplantae, Streptophyta, Magnoliopsida, Fabales, Fabaceae. The transcript has 6 exons.
ACGCCACACCUUUUCUCUCUCGCUCUUUCUCUUAUCCAAUUCUCAGCCCUCUUUAUUUAUUCUCAAAUUCUCAGUCUCACAAUCUACUCACAACACACACCAGCCUUUUUAAAUUCUGAUUUCUUAAUCUCUUUUUUCAUUCUAAUUUCUUCAUUUCUCUUUUUAUUUUUAUUAGGGUUUGGACCUGUGUUUCGUUUGCCAAAAUCAUGCCUCGUUAUCUCUCUUUCUCUCCUCUGCUAUUUGUGGUUUUUCUUACCAAUCUUAGGGGCACCGCCAUGGACGAAGCCGUGAAGGCGUAGAGGAAGGCGGUGCUAUCGUCGCCGAGGUCGGUGACAUAGAUGAUAAACGAAUCGCACAAGUUCUACUAAUACAGUUAUUGUUCGUGGACUAUCAUCUUCUGCAUCAUGGCAAGAUUUGAAGGAUCAUAUGCGAAAAGCUGGCGAUGUUUGUUUUGUUGAGGUUUCCCGUGAUAGUGAAGGUCAAACCAUCCCCAAAAUGUAGUUUGUUCAAUGGAAUCAACAAAGAGCUUAAUCUUGGAUGAAAGUGAAGAAAUUUCAUCAGAUCUUCUAAGGCCUCUAUUACGUAGUGUAAGAAAGGAAUGUCAGACUAUUUCUCCUUGUUCUUGGACACUGGGGGAGAAAGUAAUUAGCAAUUGUGCUGUUAAGCUGAAGCCUUAUCUAAUAAAAGAGGUGGAGUCCUCUGGCAUAGCUCUCAAUGAGUAUGCACACAUAAUAACUGAUAUUUUCCAGAACGGUUCUGAAUCUCCCCAAUGUGAUCAUUCAGAUGGUUCUGAGAAGGCAGUGGUACAUUUUACUUGUCCUGUGUGAUACUCAUCAGAUAAACUGGUAUAGAUAACAUGUGAUAUUCUUGAUCUUAAUUUUGCUUCAUGUUGGAAACCAUGCAAAUUUAAUUGACCUGCAAAAUCUCUAGAACCUUGACUGUUGCUAUUGCUUCAUUAGUACAUUUUUUUCUUAAUUUUGUUUCAAAUAACCAAUUUGAAAUAUGUUUGUGGUUAUAUGUGUUUUAAAUCA